GAUGAACGCUGGCGGCGUGCCUAAUACAUGCAAGUCGAGCGAACGGACGAGAAGAUUGCUUCUCUGAUGUUAGCGGCGGACGGGUGAGUAAGACGUGGAUAACCAACUUAUAAGACUGGUAUAAAUUCGUGAAACCGGAGCUAAUACCGGAUAAUAUUUUGAACGGCAUGGUUCAAAAGUGAAAGACGGUCUUGCUGUCACUUAUAGAUGAAUCCGCGCUGCAUUAGCUAGUUGGUAAGGUAACGGCUUACCAAGGCAACGAUGCAUAGCCGACCUGAGAGGGUGAUCAGCCACACUGGAACUGAGACACGGUCCAGACUCCUACGGGAGGCAGCAGUAGGGAAUCUUCCGCAAUGGGCGCAAGCCUGACGGAGCAACGCCGCGUGAGUGAUGAAGGUCUUCGGAUCGUAAAACUCUGUUAUUAGGGAAGAAAAUCUGUGUAAGUAUCUGUGCACAUCUUGACGGUACCUAAUCAGAAAGCCACGGCUAACUACGUG
RNAcentral lists this ribosomal RNA (497 nucleotides) under uncultured bacterium. RNAcentral describes it as "partial 16S ribosomal RNA". It matches the Rfam family "Bacterial small subunit ribosomal RNA", at positions 28 to 507 of the family's 1533-position model. The record is from RNAcentral.